AGCAUUAUGAAAACCUAUAAAGUGAAACCUGCCCGGUGAGAGUUUUUAAACGGCCGCAGUACCUUGACUGUGCUAAGGUAGCAUAAUAAUUUGACUUUUAAUUGGAGCCUUGUAUGAAAGGGAUAAUGGGUAGAUUCUGUCUCUUUUAAAAUUCUUUAAAGCUACUUAAAAGGUGAAAAUGCCUUUAUUUAUUUAAUAGACGAGAAGACCCUAGGAGUUUAUUAAAAAAAAAUAAUUAUAUUUUGUUGGGGCGACACUACAGCAGUAUAUUUUUAACCUGUAAUUAUUUAUUUUACUUACCGAGAAAUUUUAACUAAGAUUAAACUACCCUAGGGAUAACAGCAUAAUUUACUUAUUAAGUUUGUGACCUCGAUGUUGGAUUAGGAGGGAUUAAUAUUAGCAAUAUUAAAAUAUGUUCUGUUCGAACAAUAUAUCCUACAU
This 441-nucleotide ribosomal RNA is filed under the name Plutonia atlantica. RNAcentral describes it as "partial large subunit ribosomal RNA". It matches the Rfam family "Bacterial large subunit ribosomal RNA", at positions 1817 to 2601 of the family's 2925-position model. The record is from RNAcentral. Lineage: Eukaryota; Metazoa; Mollusca; Gastropoda; Stylommatophora.